CAAUAGCGUAUAUUAAAGUUGUUGCAGUUAAAAAGCUCGUAGUUGGAUUUCUGGUUGGAGCGAUCGGUCUGGCGCUUAGCGCGAGUACUUGCAUCGUCUCCGGCCAUCCUUGGGGAGAGUCUGUCUGGCAUUAGGUUGUCGGGCAGAGGAUCCUCAUCGUUUACUGUGAAAAAAUUAGAGUGUUCAAAGCAGGCUUAUGCCGUUGAAUAUAUUAGCAUGGAAUAAUAAGAUAGGACUUUGGUACUAUUUUGUUGGUUUGCGCACCAAAGUAAUGAUUAAUAGGGACAGUUGGGGGUAUUCGUAUUCCGUUGUCAGAGGUGAAAUUCUUGGAUUUACGGAAGACGAACUACUGCGAAAGCAUUUACCAAGGAUGUUUUCAUUAA
RNAcentral lists this ribosomal RNA (383 nucleotides) under uncultured eukaryote. RNAcentral's name for it is "partial 18S ribosomal RNA". It matches the Rfam family "Eukaryotic small subunit ribosomal RNA", at positions 592 to 976 of the family's 1831-position model. The record is from RNAcentral.